GACGAACGCUGGCGGCGUGCCUAAUACAUGCAAGUAGAACGCUGAAGAGAGGAGCUUGCUCUUCUUGGAUGAGUUGCGAACGGGUGAGUAACGCGUAGGUAACCUGCCUUGUAGCGGGGGAUAACUAUUGGAAACGAUAGCUAAUACCGCAUAACAAUGGAUGACACAUGUCAUUUAUUUGAAAGGGGCAAUUGCUCCACUACAAGAUGGACCUGCGUUGUAUUAGCUAGUAGGUGAGGUAAUGGCUCACCUAGGCGACGAUACAUAGCCGACCUGAGAGGGGGAUCGGCCAAACUGGGACUGAGACACGGCCCAGACUCCUACGGGAGGGAGCAGUAGGGAAUCUUCGGCAAUGGGGGCAACCCUGACCGAGCAACGCCGCGUGAGUGAAGAAGGUUUUCGGAUCGUAAAGCUCUGUUGUAAGUCAAGAACGGGUGUGAGAGUGGAAAGUUCACACUGUGACGGUAGCUUACCAGAAAGGGACGGCUAACUACGUG
This 497-nucleotide ribosomal RNA is filed under the name uncultured bacterium. RNAcentral describes it as "partial 16S ribosomal RNA". It matches the Rfam family "Bacterial small subunit ribosomal RNA", at positions 28 to 507 of the family's 1533-position model. The record is from RNAcentral.